This 148-nucleotide small nucleolar RNA is filed under the name Kluyveromyces lactis. RNAcentral describes it as "Small nucleolar RNA snR85". It matches the Rfam family "Small nucleolar RNA snR85". The record is from Rfam by way of RNAcentral. Lineage: Eukaryota; Fungi; Ascomycota; Saccharomycetes; Saccharomycetales; Saccharomycetaceae.
ACUCAGCGCAUCAGUCAAAUUCCCAGUAAACUUUUCUUUCAAUAGACUACUGGAGCCGUUAUUGUGCUUAAAUGAACUGCUAACUGGAGAGGUGUGGUACUUCGGGUGUGCACCAAUGAAAUGUGCAUCUGAGGGUCCUUUGAAAUAC